CAUUACAGGCUGGCAAAGGACUCCCCUUGCAGGGGGUGAUUUGCCUGGGGAAUUUUGUCUGGAAAGACCCUAGGAAUUCUAGCUAGGCCUACUGGCAUCUUGCUGCUUUGCAAAGCCUCUUUCUGAAAUGAACUGCCUUUGGACUAGUAAAUAAUGAUCACCACCAGCAGUGCACCCAGCAUGAGUGGUGAAGAGAUCCUAACUGAAGACAUUUCACCAAACAGAGAUCCUAUAUAAGUCUUUUGCAGAAAAAUAUUGAUGGGAAGAAACUGGGAGAUAACCAGAUGUGAAGACCUAGGAGAAAUGUCUAUGGUACAGUGUCCUUUCACUGAUUCUCAUUGCACAUCAUGCUGAAGAGGGUCUUUCCAUCAGCAUCCCGUUGUAAAUAUCCCAGGUCUGUUGAACUGGUCCCAGGCUCAGUCAGAGGGAGGUUUUGUUUUUCUGUGCGUGCAGAAAUGGAAGCUUUUGCCUCUGUAGUAGAAACUGGUGCAUUGAGCUCCUCUACAUCAUCCCUAAUACCUAAUACUUCUGCCAAAAGUGAAGCUUGAAGAAUCAUUCCAAAACAGAGCCCAGAAUAGGAGUUUGCCACCCAGAAGGAUAAUACGGAGAGCAAUCUGUAUCUUCACAGGUGAAAAAUAGCACCUUACAAAUGAAGCUCAGGAGAUUUUGAAUAAAUGAGCUCUGAAAAUUUCUGACUCCCAGUUCAUGCAGACCUGACCUCUUAAUAGCACAGGGCUCGUAGAUUUUCGGUGCUUCAGAUUUCUCACCAGAUUCUUGUCAUUUUGAGGAACUGCAUAAAAGUAUGUUGAUCAAUAUUUUGUGUUUUGUAAGAGAAUUACACAAUAAGAAACUCAGUGUAUAUGUGCCUUUUAAGAAGAGUAAUUUCCUGGAAACAAGGUUGUAGAUCUAUAAAAUGUGAGACAUGAUAACUAUCUUUAAAAAAGGAUUGAAAAAAGAAAAUAGCAAGAGUAGAGAAACAUUUAAGAGCUUAGUUUCAGGGAUACUGGAGAAUAAAGGAACAAGA
Molecule: long non-coding RNA, 1024 nt
Organism: Chiroxiphia lanceolata (lance-tailed manakin)
Lineage: Eukaryota; Metazoa; Chordata; Aves; Passeriformes; Pipridae
Exons: 3
Source: RefSeq, a predicted model, not a curated record